Long non-coding RNA from Phyllopteryx taeniolatus (common seadragon), 5405 nucleotides. RefSeq lists it as uncharacterized. The transcript is spliced from 3 exons. Lineage: Eukaryota; Metazoa; Chordata; Actinopteri; Syngnathiformes; Syngnathidae. The record is from RefSeq and is a predicted model, not a curated record.
CAUGAAUGUAAGAUACACAUUCAACGAACUAUGGGUGACAUAAACACACUUCAAAUGAUAAUGAUUAACAUCCUCGUUACGGAAUAAAUUCAGCCUUGUCCGAUCCCAACAACAGUACAUAAACUUUUUUUUUUUUUCUUCCCCAACAAGAACCGUUGACAGUUUGUUUAAAGUGGUGCUCUCCAAAAACAUGGACAUACCGUAUUUAACGACAUUAGUAGCAUUACAAACGCGUGUGCUGUACUAGUGGCUGUUGUGAUCUGAUGGAUGGCGGACUUGCUAUGUAGACUACAUAGUAAACAGACUAAUGUAGUCUCUUUCGGGUUUAUGCUAAAAUUUGGAUGUUAUACUACAUGAUGAUUAUAGUAGUUGUGUUAUGAAGUAAUGUUGAAUUGGAGUGCAUUAUCUUGAGGUGUCAUACAUACAUAAAUGCAUAGAAAAAAAGUUUUUAAUUUUCGGUUGCACAUGAUUAAAAUGUAGUAAACUGAUGUAAUUAUCCCCUCUUUUCCUUUAAAAUAAGCAAAUAAUAUAGUUAGUUUAACACAAUUUAAUCAUGUGCAACCAAAGUACAUGUUCAAAGUAAGUACAUUCAGUUUUUUACAGUGUACAUACAGUACACAUGUACAUCCAUACAGGUUAGAAAACUUGACCAAUAAUUUUCUUGUUUGACCUUAUUGGUCUUUUCUCUCUAGGGAAACCAGAUACUACAGGUAAGACUGCAUUAAUAAAGUAACUUGACCUGGGCCUUGACUUAACUCGCCCAAGAUGAAUAGACACAGAUAUACACGAUAUAUUCGAAUUGGGUACGAUACCUGCAGUGUAAAUUCUGCCUAAGCACAGAUACUUCUAAAUAGUAGCAGUCACAGGGCUUAUUUUGAUAUAACACGAAAAGCACACAACUCUUUCUGUCAACAUCGACUUAAUUGCUACCUGGAGUGAGUAUCACGGCCACAAUAAUUCAUCAUCAGUGUAGGAAUUUGUCACAAUCAUCUUUAAUGAAACUGGCACUAAUCAGUGUCCCCCAUCUAUGCUGGCAAGUACUUCCAUUGAUUAGAUUCUGAUGAGGUUGAGGGGGCCAUAGGGUGACACUAAAAUGGGAUUUGUGGGUAUUUUCAGAAAGAGACUGAUUUGUUUACCCCCACUGAGUAAGUCAAAAUCUUUCAAAAUAGGUUAGUCUGCAAAUGGUAUGAUACAGCUAACUGUGGGUUGUAUUGCCAUUCGAUCAUUUAAAGCAGCCAGAAUUCAGAGAAGUAAAACAUGUCACGAUCCAUGCCCUGCAGUUCCUCUUUUGGAGCUUGGGUGGCGCCGUGUGCCUUGUCUCUCCCUCUCCCCCUCUGUCUCCCUAGCAAUCAGCAGCACCUAUGCACCACACCUCUCUUCAAGCAGCACUGAUUACUACCUGCAUUUAAAGCCUGUCCAGUUCUACAGCCUUCGCCUGAGUAUUGACGUAUGUUUCGGACUCACCGGCCGACUGUCGUAAUCCCAGGUUUUUGUGAUACGAUUGUAUGAUCCUACAACCCGCAUCUGUACUCAUCCGAUUGUGUUCUUCCCGUCUCCAGUGUUCCUUCCGUGCCUUCCCCGUCUCGCUGACCUCUCCAGCCACGCUGCCAAAGCCAUGCUACUGCGCUUUGGCAUAAUUCCUCCCCGGUAAUCACCUCAGGAGACUCUUUUAUGGCAGAACUCAAAAAAGUUUUGAUCACCCCGUUAAGGGUAGGGAAGGCACUCGGCGUCUCCAAGCUCUCACCCAAGGUUCGAGUUCCGUGGCUUCCUACUCCAUCGGUUUACGGCUACUCGUGAGUGAAUGCGGGUGGGACGACGCAGCGUUAAGGGGAACGUUUUUGUCCGAACAACUUAAGGACUCGCUCCCGACCAGGGACGAACACACCUCCCUCGAGAACCUGAUUGCAUUAGCCAUUAAACUUGCCAGCCGCCUCCGAGAGAGAGAGAGCGAGCGGCGAGUUAAGACACAUAGCUUCGCUCCACUGACCAUGGCUGCCCCCCCCCCCCCCCCCCCCUCCAACGACUCCGCCACACACUGAACCCCCUGUUGCCUCCUCUUCACCCCCCACUCGACCAGAAGAACCUAUGGAACUAGGCAGGACCCGGUUAGACCCUCAGGAACGACAGCGCCGCUUUACUCAGCGACUUUGCAUCUAUUGUGGACACCCUGGCCACUUCAUUUCCACCUGCACUCUCAAACCAAAAGACUGGGCUCACCACGACCUGAGAGCAUCGUGGUGAGCCAAACCAACACCUCCCAAAGCUCUGCCUCCCGAAUGACUGUUCCUGCAUGACAUUUUUUGUAGCAGCAACAAACCAGACUGUGAUGGAAGAACACAGGACUGAUUCGAUGACCGCUGUGUAGAACUGCCUCAGCAGCUCUUGUGGCAGGCCGUGCUUUCUCAGACGCCGCAGGAAGUACAUACUCUGCUGGGCCUUUUUGAGGACGGAGUUGAUAUUGAUCGCCCGCUUCAGGUCCUGAGAGACUGUAAUUCCCAGGAACUUGAAGGUCUCGACGGUUGAGUCCACAAUCAGUCUUAAGCGUGUUCAGCUCCAGGUUUUGUCGGCCGCACCACAGCUCCAGCCGCUCCACUGAAGUUCCAUCUUUGCUUCAUUGGUCCACUUUUUCACUAUUUUCACUGUAGGCUUCGCGCAUUUAAGUUAUUGCCUGUAUGUCGGUAUUAAGUGAAUUAAGCAGUGAUCAGACGAGCUUAGUGCUGCACGAGGUUUGGCACGGUAUGCGUUAUUUAGCGUAGUAUAGCAGUGGUCCAAAAUGUUAUUUGCCCUGGUAGGACAGUCGAUGUGCUGCUUGUAUUUAGGGAGUUCGUGGUUGAGUUUAGCUUUGUUAAAGUCCCCGAGAAUAAUGAGGGGUGAGUCCAGGUGUUUUUUUCCAAUUUCGUUUACUUGUUUGGCGAUCAUUAGCAGUGCGGCGUUUGUGUUAGCUUGAAGCGGAAUGUCGACACCAGCGAGAAUGAAUGAUGUGAACUCACGAGGCGAGUAGAAUGGCUUACAGUUAAAACACAGCGACUCUAAAUGUGGGCUGCAGUGUAUGCUGAGCUCCGUGAUGUCCGUACACCAUUUUUCUUUGAUUUUGAAGCAUAUCCCGCCGCCUUUUGUUUUCCCCGAUGAUCCCAUGUCGCGGUCUGCCCUGUGAAGAUGGAAGCCGGGAAGCAUGACGGCGCCAUCACAAAGCCAAGUCUCCAUAAAGCACGUGGUCGUGGCAGAACGUCUGAAGUCUUUACUGGUGUUUAUCAGGAGAUGAAGCUUGUUCAUUUUGUUGGGUAGGGAGCGUAGAUUCGCGAGGUGGGUGGACGGAAACGCCAGUCUGUAUCCUCUCUUACGGAGCUUCACCUGGAUGCCAGCUCGCUUCCCUCUGUGGCGCCGCCUCUGCCUCCAUGCACCAAAGACUGUGGUCGCUGCUCCGGUGAGUCGUGUAAUGUCUCCAAAGAUGAACGAAAUACACAACAACAAAAACCUCCCAACCGACUGUUCGUACCCAAUUCUGCACACUCUGACGUCCUUCAGUGGGUCCACAACUCCAAGCUUACCUGUCAUCUCGGCAUUAUCCGCACCAUCCAUUUUAUCCAGCAACACUUCUGGUGGCCCAGUCUAGCCAAGGACACCCGUGAGUUUGUCCUAGACUGCUCCAUCUGUGCCCGAGGUAAGGUUCAUCAACCCCGCAGCUGGACUGCUGUGCCCCUGCUGUGCCCCUUACCCAUUCCGAGCGGUUUCCCUGGACUUUGUCACCGGCCUACUUCCAUCUGAAGGUAACACCGUCAUCCUCACUCUUAUUGACCGCUUCUCCAAGUAUGUUCACUAUGUACCUCUUCCCAAAUUGCCCUCUGCUUUUGAGACUACUAUCCUUCUUGUCCUCCACGUGUUCUGUUGACAUUGUAUCGGACCGAGGUCCUCAGUUCUCAUCCCAGGUCUGGAAAGAGUUCUGUAAGGCAGUGGGCGCAGCAGCCAGUUUGUCUUCCGGCUACCACCCCCAAACCAACGGCCGGACGGAGCGAGCAAAUCAAAACCUGGAAUCCGCUCUUCGCUGCGUCACUGCUCGCCAUCCUGCCUCCUGGUGCACCUUCCUCCCGUGGCUUGAAUAUGCCCACAACUCCCUCACCGCCACAGGUAUGUCCCCUUUCAUGGCAUGUUACAGUUUCCAACCUCUUUUAUUGAAGAACCAGGAGCAUUAUGUGGCGGUUCCCACGGUGAGGGAGCAUCUCCAACGUGUCCAGUCAGUGUGGAAGGACGUCAGGGCUGCUUUAACUCGGUUGGCGGAGAAGAAUAAGUAGCUGGGGGAUCUCCAUCGCUCCCCUACAUCUGCAUACAAGGUGGGUCAGAUAGGGUGUGGCUCUCGUCCCGGGACCUCCCUCUCCAAACCGAGUCACGUAAGAUUGCGCCGCGCUUCACUGGACCUUUUCCUGUCACCAAGUCAUCAAUCCACCUGUGUACAGUUGAAGCUGCCCCAGUCUCUCCAGAUCCAUCCCACGUUUCAUGUGUCCCAGCUCAAGCCUGUCUCUACCAGUGCUCUUAACCCUCCAGUCGUACCCCCUCCUCUGUGUCCUCGACAACCAUCCGGCCUUCACGGUAUCACGCAUCCUGGAUUGUUCCUACCGUGACUUCCCCGUCUCGCUGACCGCUCCAGCCACGCCGCCAAGCCACACCACCUGCUCAUGUUCCCGCUUCCUGCUCGCUUCCUUGUUCCCGACGGCCCGCCACCUCGCCGUGGAUAUCCUUACCCUGUGCCAACCUACAAUGAACCAUUCUCAAUCUACUCCCUCCGCCUCAGUCUGCUCUUGCUCCAAUUCACAUCCUACUACGCUCCGUGACAAAACAUUUGAAAUGAAAAAGUACUGCAUACUGAAAAACAUAUUUUUAAAAUUUGAAAUAGAAACAAACUUGAACGACACUGUUUAGAGAAGCUAUUUUUAGCCCCAUACAAAUUCAUCAUCCAAACCAGCUUUUUUCUGCUUUUAUCAGCUCUGUGUUCUGUGUGUAAGGUAUUGAUGCAGGAUGGGGGUUGAGGUUCACCCAGAAUUUUGGUUUCCGAGGCAGUAUCAGACGAUACCUGUGCGGCAAUUUACGGGAAUGCAGUGUCCUACCCAUGCGCUGAUCCUGUUCCACUAGAAACGCCCUAGCAGUUUUAAAACACUGACAACAGAGACAAACUAAAGGGGGUGGAACUGUAACCUUGUUGACAGUAAUAAUGAAUGGGAACCUAAGAUGUUGCUUUCAUUUAAUGACAACAAUACGUAGCCUACAGACCAUUUUGUUGUAUUCACUGUUACUUUUUCCCCCCCCCCAAAAAAAAAAAAAAAAAUAAUAAUAAUAAAGUCCUUUCAAUAAGUGUAUCUUUUAUGGAACAACAAUACGUAGCCUACAGACCAUUUUGUUGUAUUCACUGUUAC